GACAAAUUUCAGCGAAAAGGGGGAAAAAAAUUCCCGCCGCGUGCAGAAGUCAAAGAAUCGUACACAUGCAAACCAUCACUCUGUCAUUAAAUAGUGCACUGAAAUUAUUUCUCCCAAACUUGAACCAAUCGAUUUCUCCAUCAGGAAGAAGAUGAAGAGCAAAGGUAGAUUCGUUGGACAAAGAUGGUGGAGCAUAAGGGGCUUACCUUCAGUAUUUCUGCUAUGUCUUUUCUUCUUCCUCGCCGGUUUCUUCGGUUCUACUCUCAUUUCUCAUCAGGAUGUACAACUACUUACUGUACGGCCUAGGUCGAGGGUGCUUGAAUCUGUGGAAGAAUUUGAUGUUUUGCCUAAUGGCGACACUGGAGAACAUUCCCUCACUUCCAUCCCCUUUCAGGUCUUAAGCUGGUUCCCACGUGCAUUAUACUUUCCCAAUUUCGCAACUAUAGAACAAUGCCAAGGCAUUAUUAAGAUGGCAAAGGCAGAUCUGAAACCAUCAUCUUUGGCUCUCCGCAAAGGAGAAACAGCAGAGAAUACCAAAGGAAUUAGAACAAGUUCUGGUAUGUUUAUCAGUGCAUCUGAAGACAAAACUGGAAUUCUGGACCUCAUUGAGGAGAAAAUCGCAAAGGCGACUAUGAUCCCCAGGACACACGGAGAGGCAUUUAAUGUUUUGCGGUACGAAACCGGCCAGAGUUAUCAUUCACAUUAUGAUGCGUUUGAUCCUUCUCAAUAUGGUCCUCAGAGGAGCCAAAGGAUUCAUUGCAAUGACUUCAUUUUUACAUGGAAUCACCAUGGUGUGUUAUUUGGAUCACCACAAGGUGUCCAGACUAAAAAUAAUGUAUUUUCAUUUAGGUUGCAUCCUUUUUGUUGUAUUUAUCUGAUGUGGAAGAAGGUGGAGAAACCAUGUUCCCUUUCGAGAGUGCACAGAAUAUGGAUGCUAAUUAUGACUUCCGCAAGUGUAUUGGUCUGAAAGUGAAGCCACGUAGAGGGGAUGGACUACUAUUUUACUCGCUGUUUCCAAAUGGUACAAUUGACCCGACAUCUAUUCACGGGAGCUGUGCAGUAAUCCGAGGUGAAAAAUGGGUUGCCACAAAGUGGAUCAGGGAUCAAGAAAUGGAUGAAUAAACGAGUACAUGUCUCGAAGUGGUGUUGAUAUAAUUCUUUUGUAAUUUAAUGUAGUGACUCACUAGGAUUUUGAAACGAGUUUUGCAGUAAAUAUAUCUAGUGUUCGUUCAUA
This is an RNA transcript of Solanum stenotomum, 1234 nucleotides long. It is a transcript of the gene named probable prolyl 4-hydroxylase 9, with no coding region annotated. The transcript has 9 exons. The record is from RefSeq and is a predicted model, not a curated record. NCBI's taxonomy places the organism in Eukaryota, Viridiplantae, Streptophyta, Magnoliopsida, Solanales, Solanaceae.